GAUGAACGCUGGCGGCGUGCCUAAUACAUGCAAGUCGAGCGAACAGAUGAGGAGCUUGCUCCUCUGACGUUAGCAGCGGACGGGUGAGUAACACGUGGAUAACCUACCUAUAAGACUGGGAUAACUACGGGAAACCGGAGCUAAUACCGGAUAAUAUAUUGAACCGCAUGGUUCAAUAGUGAAAGACGGUUUUGCUGUCACUUAUAGAUGGAUCCGCGCCGCAUUAGCUAGUUGGUAAGGUAACGGCUUACCAAGGCAACGAUGCGUAGCCGACCUGAGAGGGUGAUCGGCCACACUGGAACUGAGACACGGUCCAGACUCCUACGGGAGGCAGCAGUAGGGAAUCUUCCGCAAUGGGCGAAAGCCUGACGGAGCAACGCCGCGUGAGUGAUGAAGGUCUUCGGAUCGUAAAACUCUGUUAUUAGGGAAGAACAAAUGUGUAAGUAACUAUGCACGUCUUGACGGUACCUAAUCAGAAAGCCACGGCUAACUACGUG
Molecule: ribosomal RNA, 497 nt
Filed under: uncultured bacterium
Lineage: Bacteria
Description: partial 16S ribosomal RNA
Rfam family: Bacterial small subunit ribosomal RNA
Source: RNAcentral